GACGGGUAGCCGGCCUGAGAGGGCGACCGGCCACACUGGGGACUGAGACACGGCCCAGACUCCUACGGGAGGCAGCAGUGGGGAAUAUUGCGCAAUGGGCGAAAGCCUGACGCAGCGACGCCGCGUGAGGGACGAAGGUCUUCGGAUUGUAAACCUCUUUCAGCAGGGACGAAGCGAAAGUGACUGUACCUGCAGAAGAAGCACCGGCUAACUACGUGCCAGCAGCCGCGGUAAUACGUAGGGUGCAAGCGUUGUCCGGAUUUAUUGGGCGUAAAGAGCUCGUAGGCGGUUUGUCGCGUCGGAUGUGAAAACCCAAUGGCUUAACCUUGGGCCUGCAUUCGAUACGGGCAAACUAGAGUGUGGUAGGGGAGACUGGAACUCCUGGUGUAGCGGUGGAAUGCGCAGAUAUCAGGAAGAACACCGAUGGCG
RNAcentral lists this ribosomal RNA (429 nucleotides) under uncultured bacterium. RNAcentral describes it as "bacterial SSU rRNA". It matches the Rfam family "Bacterial small subunit ribosomal RNA", at positions 278 to 717 of the family's 1533-position model. The record is from RNAcentral.